This is a long non-coding RNA of Octopus sinensis (East Asian common octopus), 88 nucleotides long. RefSeq lists it as uncharacterized. The record is from RefSeq and is a predicted model, not a curated record. The transcript has 3 exons. NCBI's taxonomy places the organism in Eukaryota, Metazoa, Mollusca, Cephalopoda, Octopoda, Octopodidae.
AGACAAACAGAUUAUUGUUGCCACCAUAGUAACUAAUGAGUUUUGAUUUGAAAUGCAGGAAUUUUAAGUGCAAGUUUGUCAACACAAC